CCCGCCGGGCCGCCCCCUCGUGCGGCCCCGCACGCGGGCCCUGGUCGCCGGCGGCCUCCGUGGCCCCGCGAGGCCCGCCGCCGCAGCGUUAAAUGUCGGGGCCCGGGGGCGGAGCCCGCCGGAGCAUUUACCGCCUGGCUUGCGAAAUCCCUUGCGUGUGAGUGGCUCGUUACUUGGCUCUGUGAGCUUUUUAAAGAAUUCUCUGUUACACUCAAGAAUUCUUGGGAAGUGAGAAAAAGAAGCCGACCAGCGGUUCCCUCGUGUUUUGAAGUGAUUAUGGAAAUUACGGUUAACGACGAGCGAAGGGAUGAGGGGUCUGCAUCCGCGUCCCUGUCCCCGGAGGAGCAGAGGGUCCUGGAAAGGAAGCGGAAGAAGGAGCUGGCGGUCUCAGAGUUUCCUUGAAAGGCUCAUGGGCACGUGAUAGAGGUGGCGUCUCAGCGCCACCGUCAGCCGUCACCCCAUCACCCCCACCUCCGCCCCCCCCCCCCCCGUCACCCCAUCACCACUUGCACCCCCACCC
This 520-nucleotide long non-coding RNA is filed under the name Ovis aries (sheep). RNAcentral describes it as "lncRNA (ENSOARG00000025917.1)". The record is from RNAcentral. Lineage: Eukaryota; Metazoa; Chordata; Mammalia; Artiodactyla; Bovidae.